AUGCGGCUCCGCGCACUACUCAGCCUGGGAGCGCGCUGGGGGCCGUUGGAAUCCGGCAUGGCCCGGACCCCGGCGGCGCUGCUGCUGCCGCUUCUGCUACUCCUAUUGCUGGAGACUCCUGCGCAGGUCUACCAGGACUAUCAGUACUUCGGCCAGCAGGGCGAAGGUGACACCUGGGAGCAGCUGAGGCUGCAGCAUCUAAAGGAAGUCGAGGACUCGAUCCUUGGCCCGUGGGGAAAUUGGCGGUGUCUCUGCGACCAGGGCAAGCAGGAGCGCAGCCGCGAGGUGCUAAGCACAAGGCCGGGUCCGGUUUUCAUGAACCAGGAGAACCUGAUCCAGAUACGGCCCUGCCGGCAACGGGAUUGUCCAUCCUGCAAACCCUUCGACUGCGACUGGAGGCUCUGAGCCCAGGGGGAAGCUGAGUCAGGAGCUGUGAGCCCCGUGGAUAGCUAGGGAGGCGGAGGUGGCCGGAUCGCUUGAGCCCAGGAGUUUGAAGCCAGCCUGAGCAACAUACUGAGACCCUGUCUCUACAAAAAACAGUCGGGCCUGGUGGUGUGUGGUGUGCACCUGUAGUCAAGCUGGGAGACUGAGGUGGGAGGAUCGCUUCAGCCCACGAGGUGGAGGUUGCACUGAACCAAGAUCGCGCCCCAGCACUCCAGCCUGGGCAACAGAGGAAGAUCCUGUCUCAGAAAAACAAAACAGAAAACAAAAGAGACGGAGACAGACGGGGCCCCAGAGACCGUGAAGCAGAGCUUGCAAAGCGACCCAGUCCAACGAAUUCGCCACACUUAAAGCGCUCGGCCAUAACCCUUCAGGACUACAAUUCCCAGGAGGGCGCGCAGCAGCGACGUCGGCGUCGGCUGC
This is a non-coding RNA of Callithrix jacchus (white-tufted-ear marmoset), 864 nucleotides long. NCBI's taxonomy places the organism in Eukaryota, Metazoa, Chordata, Mammalia, Primates, Cebidae. The record is from RefSeq and is a predicted model, not a curated record.